AGAGUAAAAAAAAGAGAGAGAGAAAAAAACUUAUUUUUUAGAAAAAAAUAAGUAUUAUUAUUUGGUGAAAGUAUCAUUAAUUAAUUGAUAAAAUAUGUGUGGACAAGUAGCAACCAAUUAAUUAAAAAAGUGAUACAGUAUAAUCGUAUUUAAAUCCGAUCAAAUAAUAUUGUAGUUUAAUUUAUUCUCUAUAUUUUAAUAUAUUUUUAUUUUGAUACCCUCACACUCACCCUCCUACAAUUUUAUUUUUCAUCAUGAAAAUAUAUCGUAAUAUGAUGAUAAAAUAUUACAUUAUUAUAUCAUAUGGUUUAUAAAAAAUACUAUUAUACUGUAUUAUUUUAUGAUAGAUGGAUCCUGAUGAUAAAAUAAAAUUAAAAUUAUCUGGAACUAAAGUAUAAUUUUUUUUUUCAAAUUAUAUGGUAUAGUAAAUUAUUGUAUCCAAAGUAUUUAUUCAUUAUUGU
This 461-nucleotide long non-coding RNA is filed under the name Ananas comosus (pineapple). RNAcentral's name for it is "long non-coding RNA (ACOM_LNC025550)". The record is from RNAcentral. Lineage: Eukaryota; Viridiplantae; Streptophyta; Magnoliopsida; Poales; Bromeliaceae.